Molecule: non-coding RNA, 165 nt
Filed under: uncultured Eubacterium sp.
Lineage: Bacteria; Bacillati; Bacillota; Clostridia; Eubacteriales; Eubacteriaceae
Source: RNAcentral
UAUGUUCUGCUUCAUGAAAGCAGCUAAGAGGGAAUCAGGUAGAAGGCCUGAGCGGUCCCGCCACUGUAGAUGAUAAGUUUUGCUCGCGGCUUUAGGCCGGCCACUGGGAAACCGGGAAGGAGAGCUAAAACGUUUGAGUCAUAAGCCAGGAGACCUGCAUAUAAC